MicroRNA precursor from Chlorocebus sabaeus (green monkey), 69 nucleotides. Lineage: Eukaryota; Metazoa; Chordata; Mammalia; Primates; Cercopithecidae. The record is from Ensembl.
CUGGGUCUCCUCUCUGCUGAGAGUUGGACACUUGUUGGGACAACCUGUCUGUGGAAAGAAGCCACCCAC